UACGGGGGGGGCAAGCGUUGUUCGGAAUUACUGGGCGUAAAGGGCGCGUAGGCGGCGUGACAAGUCACUUGUGAAAUCUCCGGGCUUAACUCGGAACGGCCAAGUGAUACUGUCGUGCUAGAGUGCAGAAGGGGCAAUCGGAAUUCUUGGUGUAGCGGUGAAAUGCGUAGAUAUCAAGAGGAACACCUGAGGUGAAGACGGGUUGCUGGGCUGACACUGACGCUGAAAGCGCGAAAGCUAGGGGAGCAAACGGG
Molecule: ribosomal RNA, 254 nt
Filed under: uncultured bacterium
Lineage: Bacteria
Description: partial 16S ribosomal RNA
Rfam family: Bacterial small subunit ribosomal RNA
Source: RNAcentral